RNAcentral lists this ribosomal RNA (467 nucleotides) under uncultured bacterium. RNAcentral describes it as "partial 16S ribosomal RNA". It matches the Rfam family "Bacterial small subunit ribosomal RNA", at positions 28 to 507 of the family's 1533-position model. The record is from RNAcentral.
GACGAACGCUGGCGGCGUGCUUAACACAUGCAAGUCGAACGGCAAGGCCCUGAUUUCGUGGGGUGAUCGAGUGGCGAACGGGUGAGUAUCACGUGAGUAACCUGCUCUUGACUUUGGGAUAGCUUCAGGUAACUGGGGCUAAUACCGGAUAGGAGCUCCUGCUCCAUGGUGGGGGUUGGAAAGUCUCGGCGGUUGGGGAUGGACUCGCGGCUUAGGAGCUGGUUGGUGGGGGAGUGGCUUACCAAGGAUUUGAAGGGUCGCCGGCCUGGGAGGGUGACCGGCCACAUUGGGACUGGGGUACGGCCCGGACUCCAACGGGGGGCAGCGGUGGGGAAUAUGGCACAAUGGGCGGAGGCCUGAUGCAGCAACGCCGCGUGCGGAAGGACGGCCUUCGGGUGGUAAACCGCUUUCGCCUGUGACGAGGCGUGAGGGACGGAAAUGGGUAAAGAGAACCGGCUAACUACGUG